RNAcentral lists this ribosomal RNA (149 nucleotides) under Exophiala pisciphila. Its description in RNAcentral is "partial large subunit ribosomal RNA". The record is from RNAcentral. Lineage: Eukaryota; Fungi; Ascomycota; Eurotiomycetes; Chaetothyriales; Herpotrichiellaceae.
AAGCGCUUACAACCAGACUUGCGCGCGGCGGUUCCCCCUUCCUUUUGGUUGGGCUACUCCGUCGUGUCCAGGCCAACAUCGGUUCUGGGGGUCGGUUAAAGACCCUGGGAAUGUAUCUACCCUUCGGGCGUAGACUUAUAGCCCAGGGU